Molecule: long non-coding RNA, 465 nt
Filed under: Elaeis guineensis (African oil palm)
Lineage: Eukaryota; Viridiplantae; Streptophyta; Magnoliopsida; Arecales; Arecaceae
Description: long non-coding RNA (EGUI_LNC068068)
Source: RNAcentral
GUGUUCUGUCUGAAUGAUGAAAUUAUCAUUUAUCAUAUGAUGAUUCUGUUGUACUAUCUGAUGAUGGUUGGGUUGAUCGAGCCAUCCUCAGGCCUGAUCAUUCAUUAGUUAGAAUCACUGAGUAUGUUCAUGUUAAUGGUUUGACCUAAUCGAAACUUUCAGUGGAGGCCCAUUGCCUACUGAAAUAAAAUUUGAGGCUAAAUUAACUACUAAAAAUUAUUUGGAGAAAUAAUUAGUUGAGAACCUACCCAUAUGUGUAUAUGGAUUGAUCGAGCCAUCUUCGGGCCUAUAUGCGUCUGUGUGGAUUCUUGUACCCACUAAGAAAUUAAGAUAAUUCCUGAGAUUGGAGGUAGAGGCUACCAAUUCAACUAAAAUAGAGAGAAAACUUUUAGACUAAAGUCUAUGUCUUUAAGCUUAAUCAAUUCAUAACCAUAAAGGUCUUGUGUUUUUCUUUCAGUUAUGGCU